UUCAUUUUAGCGAGACUGCCGGUAAUAAACCGGAGGAAGGUGGGGAUGACGUCAAAUCAUCAUGCCCCUUAUGACCUGGGCUACACACGUGCUACAAUGGUUGGUACAACGAGUUGCGAGUCGGUGACGGCAAGCUAAUCUCUUAAAGCCAAUCUCAGUUCGGAUUGUAGGCUGCAACUCGCCUACAUGAAGUCGGAAUCGCUAGUAAUCGCGGAUCAGCACGCCGCGGUGAAUACGUUCCCGGGCCUUGUACACACCGCCCGUCACACCACGAGAGUUUGUAACACCCGAAGUCGGUGAGGUAACCUUUUGGAGCCAGCCGCCUAAGGUGGGAUAGAUGAUUGGGGUGAAGUCGUAACAAGGGAACCGUAA
This 372-nucleotide ribosomal RNA is filed under the name uncultured bacterium. RNAcentral describes it as "bacterial SSU rRNA". It matches the Rfam family "Bacterial small subunit ribosomal RNA", at positions 1134 to 1505 of the family's 1533-position model. The record is from RNAcentral.